UCUCUCUUGAGUGGAUCCUGAGUACGACGGAGCACGUGAAAUUCCGUCGGAAUCUGGGAGGACCAUCUCCUAAGGCUAAAUACUCUCUAGUGACCGAUAGUGAACCAGUACCGUGAGGGAAAGGUGAAAAGCACCCCGGAAGGGGAGUGAAAUAGAACCUGAAACCGUGUGCUUACAAGUAGUCAGAGCCCGUUAAUGGGUGAUGGCGUGCCUUUUGUAGAAUGAACCGGCGAGUUACGAUUUGAUGCAAGGUUAAGCAGUAAAUGUGGAGCCGUAGCGAAAGCGAGUCUGAAUAGGGCGUUUAGUAUUUGGUCGUAGACCCGAAACCAGGUGAUCUACCCUUGGUCAGGUUGAAGUUCAGGUAACACUGAAUGGAGGACCGAACCGACUUACGUUGAAAAGUGAGCGGAUGAACUGAGGGUAGCGGAGAAAUUCCAAUCGAACCUGGAGAUAGCUGGUUCUCUCCGAAAUAGCUUUAGGGCUAGCCUCAAGUGAUGAUUAUUGGAGGUAGAGCACUGUUUGGACGAGGGGCCCCUCUCGGGUUACCGAAUUCAGACAAACUCCGAAUGCCAAUUAAUUUAACUUGGGAGUCAGAACAUGGGUGAUAAGGUCCGUGUUCGAAAGGGAAACAGCCCAGACCACCAGCUAAGGUCCCAAAAUAUAUGUUAAGUGGAAAAGGAUGUGGCGUUGCCCAGACAACUAGGAUGUUGGCUUAGAAGCAGCCAUCAUUUAAAGAGUGCGUAAUAGCUCACUAGUCGAGUGACACUGCGCCGAAAAUGUACCGGGGCUAAACAUAUUACCGAAGCUGUGGAUUGUCCUUUGGACAAUGGUAGGAGAGCGUUCUAAGGGCGUUGAAGCAUGAUCGUAAGGACAUGUGGAGCGCUUAGAAGUGAGAAUGCCGGUGUGAGUAGCGAAAGACGGGUGAGAAUCCCGUCCACCGAUUGACUAAGGUUUCCAGAGGAAGGCUCGUCCGCUCUGGGUUAGUCGGGUCCUAAGCUGAGGCCGACAGGCGUAGGCGAUGGAUAACAGGUUGAUAUUCCUGUACCACCUAUAAUCGUUUUAAUCGAUGGGGGGACGCAGUAGGAUAGGCGAAGCGUGCGAUUGGAUUGCACGUCUAAGCAGUAAGGCUGAGUAUUAGGCAAAUCCGGUACUCGUUAAGGCUGAGCUGUGAUGGGGAGAAGACAUUGUGUCUUCGAGUCGUUGAUUUCACACUGCCGAGAAAAGCCUCUAGAUAGAAAAUAGGUGCCCGUACCGCAAACCGACACAGGUAGUCAAGAUGAGAAUUCUAAGGUGAGCGAGCGAACUCUCGUUAAGGAACUCGGCAAAAUGACCCCGUAACUUCGGGAGAAGGGGUGCUCUUUAGGGUUAACGCCCAGAAGAGCCGCAGUGAAUAGGCCCAAGCGACUGUUUAUCAAAAACACAGGUCUCUGCUAAACCGUAAGGUGAUGUAUAGGGGCUGACGCCUGCCCGGUGCUGGAAGGUUAAGAGGAGUGGUUAGCUUCUGCGAAGCUACGAAUCGAAGCCCCAGUAAACGGCGGCCGUAACUAUAACGGUCCUAAGGUAGCGAAAUUCCUUGUCGGGUAAGUUCCGACCCGCACGAAAGGCGUAACGAUUUGGGCACUGUCUCAACGAGAGACUCGGUGAAAUCAUAGUACCUGUGAAGAUGCAGGUUACCCGCGACAGGACGGAAAGACCCCGUGGAGCUUUACUGUAGCCUGAUAUUGAAAUUCGGCACAGCUUGUACAGGAUAGGUAGGAGCCUUUGAAACGUGAGCGCUAGCUUACGUGGAGGCGCUGGUGGGAUACUACCCUAGCUGUGUUGGCUUUCUAACCCGCACCACUUAUCGUGGUGGGAGACAGUGUCAGGCGGGCAGUUUGACUGGGGCGGUCGCCUCCUAAAAGGUAACGGAGGCGCUCAAAGGUUCCCUCAGAAUGGUUGGAAAUCAUUCAUAGAGUGUAAAGGCAUAAGGGAGCUUGACUGCGAGACCUACAAGUCGAGCAGGGUCGAAAGACGGACUUAGUGAUCCGGUGGUUCCGCAUGGAAGGGCCAUCGCUCAACGGAUAAAAGCUACCCCGGGGAUAACAGGCUUAUCUCCCCCAAGAGUUCACAUCGACGGGGAGGUUUGGCACCUCGAUGUCGGCUCAUCGCAUCCUGGGGCUGUAGUCGGUCCCAAGGGUUGGGCUGUUCGCCCAUUAAAGCGGUACGCGAGCUGGGUUCAGAACGUCGUGAGACAGUUCGGUCCCUAUCCGUCGUGGGCGUAGGAAAUUUGAGAGGAGCUGUCCUUAGUACGAGAGGACCGGGAUGGACAUACCUCUGGUGUACCAGUUGUCGUGCCAACGGCAUAGCUGGGUAGCUAUGU
This 2359-nucleotide ribosomal RNA is filed under the name metagenome. RNAcentral describes it as "bacterial LSU rRNA". It matches the Rfam family "Bacterial large subunit ribosomal RNA", at positions 391 to 2754 of the family's 2925-position model. The record is from RNAcentral.